RNAcentral lists this ribosomal RNA (205 nucleotides) under uncultured bacterium. Its description in RNAcentral is "partial 16S ribosomal RNA". It matches the Rfam family "Bacterial small subunit ribosomal RNA", at positions 1297 to 1500 of the family's 1533-position model. The record is from RNAcentral.
AUUGCAGUCUGCAACUCGACUGCAUGAAGCUGGAAUCGCUAGUAAUCGCGAAUCAGCAUGUCGCGGUGAAUACGUUCCCGGGUCUUGUACACACCGCCCGUCACACCAUGGGAGUCGGAAAUGCCCGAAGCCAGUGACCCAACCUUUAAGGAGGGAGCUGUCGAAGGCAGGUCUGGUAACUGGGGUGAAGUCGUAACAAGGUAGC